This 429-nucleotide ribosomal RNA is filed under the name uncultured archaeon. Its description in RNAcentral is "bacterial SSU rRNA". It matches the Rfam family "Archaeal small subunit ribosomal RNA", at positions 474 to 903 of the family's 1478-position model. The record is from RNAcentral.
UACCAGCUCUCCGAGUAGUGUGGAUGUUUAUUGGGCCUAAAGCAUCCGUAGCUUGCUAAGCAAGUCCCCUGUUAAAUCCACCGAUUUAAUCGUUGGAUUGCGGGGGGUACUGUUUGGCUAGGGGACGGGAGAGGCCGACGGUAUUUCCGGGGUAGGGGUGAAAUCCUAUAAUCCCGGGAAGACCACCAGUGGCGAAGGCUGUCGGCUAGAACGCGCCCGACGGUGAGGGAUGAAAGCUGGGGGAGCGAACCGGAUUAGAUACCCGGGUAGUCCCAGCUGUAAACGAUGCAGGCUAGGUGUUUGGGCGGCCACGAGCCGCCCUAGUGCCGCAGGGAAGCUGUUAAGCCUGCCGCCUGGGGAGUACGGCCGCAAGGCUGAAACUUAAAGGAAUUGGCGGGGGAGCACCACAAGGGGUGAAGCUUGCGGUUU